GACCAAGGAGUCUGACAUGUGU
RNAcentral lists this non-coding RNA (22 nucleotides) under Arabidopsis thaliana (thale cress). Lineage: Eukaryota; Viridiplantae; Streptophyta; Magnoliopsida; Brassicales; Brassicaceae. The record is from RNAcentral.